CAGAGGGGGCAAGCGUUAUUCGGAGUUAUUGGGCGUAAAGGGCGCGUAGGCGGCUUUUCAAGUGACGGGUGAAAUCCCUCGGCUUAACCGAGGAACUGCCUGUCAGACUGGAAGGCUUGAGACCGGGAGAGGUGAGUGGAAUUCCCAGUGUAGCGGUGAAAUGCGUAGAUAUUGGGAGGAACACCAGUGGCGAAGGCGGCUCACUGGACCGGAACUGACGCUGAGGCGCGAAAGCGUGGGGAGCAAACAGGAUUAGAUACCCUGGUAGUCCACGCUGUAAACGUUGGGCGCUAGGUGUGGGGGGCCUCUCCGGUUCUCUGUGCCGCAGCUAACGCAUUAAGCGCCCCGCCUGGGGAGUACGGCCGCAAGGCUA
RNAcentral lists this ribosomal RNA (373 nucleotides) under uncultured organism. Its description in RNAcentral is "bacterial SSU rRNA". It matches the Rfam family "Bacterial small subunit ribosomal RNA", at positions 526 to 896 of the family's 1533-position model. The record is from RNAcentral.